This is a long non-coding RNA of Eleginops maclovinus (Patagonian blennie), 491 nucleotides long. RefSeq lists it as uncharacterized. The transcript has 3 exons. Lineage: Eukaryota; Metazoa; Chordata; Actinopteri; Perciformes; Eleginopidae. The record is from RefSeq and is a predicted model, not a curated record.
UAUAUAAGAGGUUGCUGUAUUUAUUUGUUGCCAUAGACAUUAGUCACUGCACUGCCUGGGCUGAAAUAAGAACUUAUAAGGAUAAGAAUAUAAGGGGCCUAUACUUCCAUCAAUUCUAGCAGAGACAGCUGGAUACAAAGACAAAAAUGAUGGAGAAGAAAAUGAUUUUGUUUUCUGUGCUUCUGCUGCUGCUGGGAUGGACCAUGACGCUCCAGGGUGCCUCUGAGUCAGAGAACGUUGAUGAGGAUGAGGUGGAGAGUCCUGUGAAUACCUCUGUGGCUCCUGCAGACACGGCGGUCAUCAAUUUGACCAUACUAUCAAAUAUGUCCAAUAGAACCUUGUUCAAUGCAACAGAGGACUGUAAAAAAGCACCAGAAACAGGUAGCUGUAAGGCAUAUAUAAAAAUGUUCUUCUACAACAGCUCCUCAAUGACCUGUGAGACCUUCGUCUAUGGUGGAUGUAUGGGCAACCUGAACAAAUUUAAAGAUCAG